GGGUGGAUGGGAGGRGCUGGGACUUCACUAACCUGAUUAACCAGGUUAGAAACCAACCUUGCAAAAAUCGAAGCCAUCGCUGCAACCUCCCCCCACCCUCCGAGGGCAGGACUGGUCCCGGGUGGAUGUGAGAGGACGAGCUGGGUUGGAAAUCACCCCCCGACCUCGUGUCGCCCCCCUGCUCUCAUCCUGCAUCCCCGCGCGGCGCAGAGAGGAGCCCGGAGCAGCGGCGAGGUGGGAUGCGACUCUCCCUCGGCGGGCACCGUGCCUCCGGCUCCCRGGAGCGGGGCGAGCGGCGAGGGCGGGCGGCAGGGCCGGCGAGCCGGGCGCCGCGGCGAGGAUGAAAACAUGGGCCUUAAGUUAUCCUGCCUGAAAGGCUUGAAGACGUGCGUGAGUGGCAGGAACAGCGGGAACGGCGGGCGGCAGGCGGCGGCGGCGGGCGACGACAAGCACCUGCGGGUCCCCGCCAUCAUCGUCACGCCGCCCACCCCCACGGGCACGACGCUGGUGCGGGAGCCCCGGCGAGCUGGCGCCGAGCCGCCGUGCAGCGGGAGCUGAGCACCGCGCCGGGAUCAGGGACGCCGGGGGCAGGCGACCAGCCCGCCGGGACCUUUCCCACGGCCGGCGCUCCGCCAGGAUGGAGCCGGCAGCCCCGCGGUGCGAGCCGGGAUCGUCCGGGGUGAAGAGGUCCCGGGAGCACGGCGAUGCCCCGGGCGGCACGGGGAAACCGCAGCGUUUCCCAAAAGCGGAUGAGCACCUUUAAAACGGGUCGUUUCCGAGCAGGCUGGGACAUUGAGGACUGUUUUUUUCCUCCUCUUUUCUAAACACACUGCAAAGGGGUUUCCAAAGCGCGGCUCUUUGGCAGUGAAUAAAGCGCUCAGCGCCGUGCA
RNAcentral lists this long non-coding RNA (890 nucleotides) under Apteryx owenii (little spotted kiwi). RNAcentral's name for it is "lncRNA (ENSAOWG00000012200.1)". The record is from RNAcentral. Lineage: Eukaryota; Metazoa; Chordata; Aves; Apterygiformes; Apterygidae.